Long non-coding RNA from Vitis vinifera (wine grape), 572 nucleotides. RefSeq lists it as uncharacterized. The record is from RefSeq and is a predicted model, not a curated record. The transcript has 4 exons. NCBI's taxonomy places the organism in Eukaryota, Viridiplantae, Streptophyta, Magnoliopsida, Vitales, Vitaceae.
AAUUCUUUUAGGCCAUUUCUGAUUAAGCGUGCUUCAAUUGUUUGUGUUGUAUUCAUGUGAUUGCUUCAUUGGUUUGGGGUUUCCUCAGGUGAAUUCUUCUCUUUCCUAACCAUGCUUUUUUUUAUUUUCUAAUCCAGGAUGAUUCAUAUCUCGAGAGUUACAUAAGCACCAUUGGGGUUGACUUUAAAAUUCGCACUGUGGAACAGGAUGGAAAGACCAUCAAACUACAAAUUUGGGACACUGCUGGGCAAGAACGUUUUAGGACGAUCACUAGCAGCUACUAUCGUGGAGCACAUGGAAUUAUUGUGGUUUAUGAUGUGACGGAUCAAGAAAGCUUGUAUGCAGUCAGAGACAAGGAAGCUUGGCAUUAAGUAUUGCUACAAUCAGCCCUGUGCCUUGUAUGCAGUCAGGCUCCAUUUUGUGAAUUAAAAGCCAACGAACUUCAGUCCAAGUGGGUUACUUGCUUUGAUUGAUAUGUUAUGAUUUGUCUAUCUUUCUACUCAUCAACACUCAUUGUGUGUUGAAGACUAUGUAAACAAACUUCAACUUUGAUGUAAUUUUUACUUUCUUAA